RNAcentral lists this ribosomal RNA (544 nucleotides) under Penicillium simplicissimum. RNAcentral describes it as "eukaryotic LSU rRNA". It matches the Rfam family "Eukaryotic large subunit ribosomal RNA", at positions 110 to 668 of the family's 3401-position model. The record is from RNAcentral. Lineage: Eukaryota; Fungi; Ascomycota; Eurotiomycetes; Eurotiales; Aspergillaceae.
CAAAUUUGAAAGCUGGCUCCUUCGGGGUCCGCAUUGUAAUUUGCAGAGGAUGCUUUCGGGAGUGGCCCCCAUCUAAGUGCCCUGGAACGGGCCGUCAUAGAGGGUGAGAAUCCCGUCUGGGAUGGGGUGUCCACGCCCGUGUGAAGCUCCUUCGACGAGUCGAGUUGUUUGGGAAUGCAGCUCUAAAUGGGUGGUAAAUUUCAUCUAAAGCUAAAUACUGGCCGGAGACCGAUAGCGCACAAGUAGAGUGAUCGAAAGAUGAAAAGCACUUUGAAAAGAGAGUUAAACAGCACGUGAAAUUGUUGAAAGGGAAGCGCUUGCGACCAGACUCGCCCACGGGGUUCAGCCGGCAUUCGUGCCGGUGUACUUCCCCGCGGGCGGGCCAGCGUCGGUUUGGGCGGCCGGUCAAAGGCCCUCGGAAUGUAACGCCCCCCGGGGCGUCUUAUAGCCGAGGGUGCCAUGCGGCCAGCCCGGACCGAGGAACGCGCUUCGGCUCGGACGCUGGCAUAAUGGUCGUAAGCGACCCGUCUUGAAACACGGACCA